Molecule: long non-coding RNA, 333 nt
Organism: Micropterus dolomieu (smallmouth bass)
Lineage: Eukaryota; Metazoa; Chordata; Actinopteri; Centrarchiformes; Centrarchidae
Exons: 2
Source: RefSeq, a predicted model, not a curated record
UGUUGCAGGAAUCUUAAGCUGGACUUUAUUUUGCAGAUGUUAAGACUAAAGAGUGCGAUUCCAAGCAGGCCAUGUUGGAAGACUGCUGCGGCCGCUGGGUCAGGCCGGUGUCCAGGUCACAUCCAGAAAAAGAGUAGAAGACAGAUCACUACCCACCUGCCAGUCAAUCUGCUCACUUGUCUGCCUUCCAGCCACUGCUUCUCAUUCCCUUGGCUCAGACCGACCAGUGUUCUCUGCUGCCAUCAUUUUCCCCCGCAGUCCCUGGAUCCCUCUCAUAGCCACCUGCCCACACCUUAACCCUCCUGUUUGCAUUAAAGGCUGUCUUACCAACUA